Molecule: long non-coding RNA, 578 nt
Filed under: Elaeis guineensis (African oil palm)
Lineage: Eukaryota; Viridiplantae; Streptophyta; Magnoliopsida; Arecales; Arecaceae
Description: long non-coding RNA (EGUI_LNC057020)
Source: RNAcentral
ACACCAAUCCAUAAGAGGGGGUGGGCCCCUCUUGCCAUAUCCAGGAGGUUGGCACCUCCUGGUCACACCCCCUCUCUUUCCUCCACGCCAAUCCAUAAGAGGGGGCGGCCCCUCUUGCCAUAUCCAGGGGGUUGGCACCCCUUGGUCACACCCCCUCUCUCUCCUCCAUGUCAAUCCAUAAGAGGGGACGGGCCCCUCUUGCCAUAUCCAGGGGGUUGGCACCCCCUGAUCUUGCCAAAAAGAGAAGAAGGCGCCACCCUUCUUUCCUUCUAUUCCACACACCUCUUAAAGAUAAUUAGGAGAUAAUGUAGAGAUAAUGAAGAGAUAAUUUAGCUAACUAAUUAACUUAAUCAAAUCAUCUUGGGCUCACAAUUAAGAGUCCAAUUAAAUUCAAAUGGAUUUAGAUUAGGUUCAAGACUAUGAACUUGAUCCAAUCGAAAUUUCGAGAAGAAUUAGAUUUAACCAUGUGUUAGCAUGAUUCUUUUAAACCCAAUAGGAUUUCAAUAAAUCCUAACCCAAUUAAAACUUCAUAAGCUCAAUUGACAAAUUCGAGAUUAAAUCCCUUAAUAUGUGGCCCC